Molecule: long non-coding RNA, 402 nt
Organism: Brassica oleracea var. oleracea
Lineage: Eukaryota; Viridiplantae; Streptophyta; Magnoliopsida; Brassicales; Brassicaceae
Exons: 3
Source: RefSeq, a predicted model, not a curated record
GCCAGAUAUUUUUGGAGCAAUGGUAGCAGUAGGGGAUAUUGAAGAAGCUGAAAUAGAGAACCAUAGCCUCCACUUCUCUUUAGUCAAUAUGGAGUAUGAACACAUUAACUGUGUAGCAUAUGGAGAAGUUGCUCUGUUUUUAGAUAACUAAUGGAACUCAACCAAUGCCCCUGUCGUCCUAUGUGUGUUACAGUUUUGGGAAAUUGAUUGGGGUGUUGGUGGAUUCAAGCACGUGAAAACGAUUGAUGGAUUUUCGUGAAUUUUAUUUGAGCCUGAUGAUGUUCCAGAGAUCCAGUCUUUUAGAAUGAGGUAAUAUAAUUUGAUUGUUCAAUAGACAUUAUAUUUAUGCUCACUUAUUUCUAUAUUUUUUUUAUAGGAUUCCAUACUAUGCCUACUGAAGAA